This 301-nucleotide ribosomal RNA is filed under the name uncultured bacterium. RNAcentral's name for it is "partial 16S ribosomal RNA". It matches the Rfam family "Bacterial small subunit ribosomal RNA", at positions 509 to 807 of the family's 1533-position model. The record is from RNAcentral.
CAGCAGCCACGGUAAUACAGAGGGUGCGAGCGUUAAUCGGAUUUACUGGGCGUAAAGCGUGCGUAGGCGGCUUCUUAAGUCGGAUGUGAAAUCCCUGAGCUUAACUUAGGAAUUGCAUUCGAUACUGGGAAGCUAGAGUAUGGGAGAGGAUGGUAGAAUUCCAGGUGUAGCGGUGAAAUGCGUAGAGAUCUUGAGGAAUACCGAUGGCGAAGGCAGCCAUCUGGCCUAAUACUGACGCUGAUGUACGAAAGCAUGGGGAGCAAACAGGAUUAGAUACCCCGGUAGUCCCUGUCUCUUAUAC